ACUCCUACGGGAGGCAGCAGUGAGGAAUAUUGGUCAAUGGUCGCAAGACUGAACCAGCCAUGCCGCGUGCAGGAAGACGGUCCUAUGGAUUGUAAACUGCUUUUAUACAGGAAGAAACCCCUCCCACGUGUGGGAGCUUGACGGUACUGUAGGAAUAAGGAUCGGCUAACUCCGUGCCAGCAGCCGCGGUAAUACGGAGGAUCCAAGCGUUAUCCGGAAUCAUUGGGUUUAAAGGGUCCGUAGGCGGCCUUAUAAGUCAGUGGUGAAAGCCCAUCGCUCAACGAUGGAACUGCCAUUGAUACUGUAAGGCUUGAAUUAUUGUGAAGUAACUAGAAUAUGUAGUGUAGCGGUGAAAUGCUUAGAUAUUACAUGGAAUACCAAUUGCGAAGGCAGGUUACUAACAAUGGAUUGACGCUGAUGGACGAAAGCGUGGGGAGCGAACAGGAUUAGAUACCCUGGUAGGAUAGCG
This 469-nucleotide ribosomal RNA is filed under the name uncultured bacterium. RNAcentral's name for it is "bacterial SSU rRNA". It matches the Rfam family "Bacterial small subunit ribosomal RNA", at positions 335 to 799 of the family's 1533-position model. The record is from RNAcentral.